UAGCCAAGGAUGAGGUUGAACUGCU
Molecule: unclassified non-coding RNA, 25 nt
Filed under: Mus musculus (house mouse)
Lineage: Eukaryota; Metazoa; Chordata; Mammalia; Rodentia; Muridae
Description: oocyte_clustered_small_RNA10277
Source: RNAcentral